Molecule: long non-coding RNA, 476 nt
Filed under: Bos taurus (domestic cattle)
Lineage: Eukaryota; Metazoa; Chordata; Mammalia; Artiodactyla; Bovidae
Description: long non-coding RNA NONBTAT026446
Source: RNAcentral
GAUUCAGCACAAAUUAAUAGGAAAAACUGAAUGAGUGAAAGUGUUUUAGAACCUGAAGCUUAUUGUUUCACCAAUCAUGUGACUAAAGGCAGUUAUAAAAAUGGUGAACUAACAAGAGUCCCAGAAAAAGUGAAAGCUGAGAUGGAAUUACAUUUCUUUAUAAGGGACUUAACCAGCUUUUAAAAUACAGGAAAAAGUAACAAAAUCCUUUUGGUGGCAUUAUAUUACGUAACAUAAGGUUUAUGUAAAUCUGCUCUCUUGAGACUUUUUCAGUAUUUUGUGGGAUCAAUUAACAAAGUUUUCAAGUACCUCUGUGAGAGGACUCUGAGAGAGAACUUCUGAGAAUUAGGCCAGUCAAAUACAAAGGAGUAACUUGGAAGAUUAAAUUAAAUUGAAUAGAAAAAUCCCAAUUGGGACCUCAAAAUACCAAUUCUGUCUUUAUUUCCAGCCCUCAAAAAUCAAUCUCAUUCCCUCAC